AACCAUAGAAACCUGCGGAGUACCUGCGGAGGGAUCAUUAGAGAAAUCUAUAUGAAUGAAGUUAGAGGACGUCGAGAGAUACUGCAGACGAAGAGCUGUAUUCCUAUACCUGCGCUUAGUUGCGCGGUAGUGGUGCGGUUCCGAGCUUGUGGAAAUAAAUGUCUUUCUUCGUUGUCAACUCUGCUUCAACUUCUACAACACUGUGAAGUUUUCUACAAAAAAAAACUUUCUUCUUUGGGG
This 240-nucleotide unclassified non-coding RNA is filed under the name soil metagenome. RNAcentral describes it as "partial contains 5.8S ribosomal RNA, internal transcribed spacer 2, and large subunit ribosomal RNA". The record is from RNAcentral.